RNAcentral lists this ribosomal RNA (121 nucleotides) under Gopherus agassizii (Agassiz's desert tortoise). Lineage: Eukaryota; Metazoa; Chordata; Testudines; Testudinidae. The record is from RNAcentral.
GCUUGCAGCUAUACCACUUUGGACUGAUCUUGACACCAAUAUGUCCAAGCACAUAAGCAGGUACAGGCCUGGUCAGUACUUGGAUAGGAGACCUCCAAGGAAAAUUCAAGUGCUACAGGAA